This 446-nucleotide ribosomal RNA is filed under the name uncultured bacterium. Its description in RNAcentral is "partial 16S ribosomal RNA". It matches the Rfam family "Bacterial small subunit ribosomal RNA", at positions 338 to 795 of the family's 1533-position model. The record is from RNAcentral.
CCUACGGGGGGCAGCAGUCGAGAAUCAUUCACAAUGGGGGAAACCCUGAUGGUGCGACGCCGCGUGGGGGAAUGAAGGUCUUCGGAUUGUAAACCCCUGUCAUGUGGGAGCAAAUUAAAAAGAUAGUACCACAAGAGGAAGAGACGGCUAACUCUGUGCCAGCAGCCGCGGUAAUACAGAGGUCUCAAGCGUUGUUCGGAAUCACUGGGCGGAAAGCGUGCGUAGGCUGUUUCGUAAGUCGUGUGUGAAAGGCGCGGGCUCAACCCGCGGACGGCACAUGAUACUGCGAGACUAGAGUAAUGGAGGGGGAACCGGAAUUCUCGGUGUAGCAGUGAAAUGCGUAGAUAUCGAGAGGAACACUCGUGGCGAAGGCGGGUUCCUGGACAUUAACUGACGCUGAGGCACGAAGGCCAGGGGAGCGAAAGGGAUUAGAUACCCCGGUAGUC